AGUGAACGCUGGCGGUAGGCCUAACACAUGCAAGUCGAACGGCAGCACAGUAAGAGCUUGCUCUUACGGGUGGCGAGUGGCGGACGGGUGAGGAAUACAUCGGAAUCUACUUUUUCGUGGGUGAUAACGUAGGGAAACUUACGCUAAUACCUCAUACGACCUACGGGUGAAAUCAGGGGAUCUUCGGACCUUGCGCGAUUGAAUGAGCCGAUGUCGGAUUAGCUAGUUGGCGGGGUAAAGGCCCACCAAGGCGACGAUCCGUAGCUGGUCUGAGAGGAUGAUCAGCCACACUGGAACUGAGACACGGUCCAGACUCCUACGGGAGGCAGCAGUGGGGAAUAUUGGACAAUGGGCGCAAGCCUGAUCCAGCCAUACCGCGUGGGUGAAGAAGGCCUUCGGGUUGUAAAGCCCUUUUGUUGGGAAAGAAAAGCAGCAGGUUAAUACCCCGCUGUUCUGACGGUACCCAAAGAAUAAGCACCGGCUAACUUCGUG
RNAcentral lists this ribosomal RNA (492 nucleotides) under uncultured bacterium. RNAcentral describes it as "partial 16S ribosomal RNA". It matches the Rfam family "Bacterial small subunit ribosomal RNA", at positions 29 to 507 of the family's 1533-position model. The record is from RNAcentral.